Populus trichocarpa (black cottonwood) is the source of this 2541-nucleotide long non-coding RNA. RefSeq lists it as uncharacterized. The transcript has 5 exons. Lineage: Eukaryota; Viridiplantae; Streptophyta; Magnoliopsida; Malpighiales; Salicaceae. The record is from RefSeq and is a predicted model, not a curated record.
CUGAUUUUCUGUGAACACCCAUACUUCACUUUCUACAGUGGAUUGAUAGAUUUGCUUGAGGGGAAGCUUGUGGUUCUUCGGUUCCAAAUAAAAAUAAAAGAUGAAUUGGAGGCUAUAGCGUCCAGGUCACGAUCUUCAUCUGACAUGUCUGGGGCUGAAAAUGGAUCGGUUCAUGACAGCAAUGUUGAUGCAGAGUGCCAAAAUUGCAAGAGAAAAGGCCACAGAGUUAUCCUUGGAUUUAAAGAGCUAUAUAACGAAUAUGCAGUUCCUUUUGAAAUUUGGGAGGGAUUGGCCAAAUGUGAGCAUAAUGACACUCCUACAAAUUCAUGGCAUUAUAGUUCUCAGAGAUAAAACAAGCACGCUCUGUUUGCAGGUGACAGUCUGCAUUUUUAACUCGAUAUUUUUGCUUUUAAAGAGUUCAAAUCCGUGAUAGGGUGGUAACUUAAUUAUAGGUUGGCAAUAUGUAGCUGUGAGCUGAGUAUAAAUCAUUGUAGUUCAGUCAAGUUGCUAGAUCUAAUAUGCACAGUUGAGCCAAAAUCAUUGUGGGUCUUAUAAGUUGUCAAACCCAUCUCUCCUGGGUUUGGCAAUACAUCGAAUCCAAUUGGUAUUUGAGAUUCAUAUAAAGGCUUAGGUGCUAUCUCAAGACUAUUAACAUGAUCUAUUCAUGUCAGUAAUAAUCAUCUCUUUAUAUUUAUAGAUGUGUAAAAGGUUUCUCAAUAAGUUUAUUAUAUUUUCAUUUCAUUAAUGAUUUGUAAGGAAUAUUUAUUUUUUAUAAUAUCACAAGAGCAAAUAACUUCUCGGUCCUUUCAUUCCAUAAAGACGACAAUGUUUAGGGACUAUAAAUACCCUUAAAUUACCCAGAUAAAAGAUUCACAACUUCUCAUACUUUAAAAGUUUAUAUAUAUAUAUAUAUCUUAGAGCAUUAAUCACACAAAAACAAGAACAAAAGCAUGUUCUUGGAAUUAAAAGUUUCUUUUUACAUCUUAGGCUAAAAAGAAGAAAAUAAUGAUAUGAACAUUUAAAUAAAUAUUUAAAUAAUCAUUAUCCAAUUACCAAAUAUAUUGUUCCUUGAAUAUGCUAGAUUUUGAAACAUCAUCAGCAGGUAUCAGUAUUACAUGCUUCAAAUUUUCAAAAUUUGUUAUAUAUGCAAGUCCUUGAUUUCCUUUUCUUCUUUUCGAUAUGUCCGGAGAUGCUUUACUUUGCUAUAUUCUGGUGAUGCUGAUAGUAGCAUUGUAAGAGAAACCUGGGCUAGACUAAUCGAUCGAGCUCUUUCAAGGGGUGGUGUUGCGGAAGCUUGUUCAAUACUGAAGAGGGUUGGUUCCUGCAUGUAUCCUGGAGAGGGAGCUCUAGACACCCAUGCCUUCACCUUGAGAAGGCUGCACUGGAGAGACUGGAAUCAGGGAUUGAAACUGUAGGAGAUGAAGACGUAGCAAGAGCUCUUCUUGCUGCUUGCUAGGGUGCAAUUGAACCUGUAUCAAGCACUUAUGAUCAGUUAUUAUCGAAUGGAGCUAUCUUCCCAUCUCCCAACCUUAGGCUACGCCUUCUGCGAUCUGUGCUUGUGUACUCCGUGAAUGGGCGAUGAUUGUAUUUGCCAGAGGAUGGGUACAAGUGCUGCUGGAGCUUCAUUAAAAUUAGUUGGAUCAUUCUCACUGGAACAAAUUGUUGUCAUUAUUAACCAAGGGAUUCGUGAUAAGAUCACGAGUGCAGCAAACAGGUACAUGACAGAGGUGAGGAGGCUGCCCCUUCCCCGGAGCAGGACUGAAGCUGUUUACCAAGGAUUUCGAGGACUUGAAGAGUCCCUGAUAAGUCCUUUUUCUUGACAGAUUUUGAUUCUUUAGUGUUCCAUAGUUGUUGUAUGAAAAGGUUUAUUGUCGAUUUGCAAAUAAAAAAUUAAUAGAUGAAGUAGUUGAAAGUCACCAAUUAACGUUAUGGUUUGACAUCUUUAUCGUUUCAAUGUAACAUUGAGUCGCAGUUCAUAGCAAAGCAGAUAUCAAAUUUGAAGGCUGAUGAUGCCAAGAAUCAUAUUAACAAGUUCUUCAAAGAUGACAUGGAGAGGCCAGAAGAAUGAACAGAUGAUGAUUUAUCAAAAUUCUUGGCGGCUGUGAAAAACUUCGGCUAGAUGUAGCCUAAACCCUGCUUGACAAGCAAAUCAGAGGUCCUGUGGGGGUGGAUUCAGUGGCAGGCAUUGUAAUUGGAUGGGGUGGUUAAGUUUACCCUACUGAGAAAAGGUAAGUUGCGUUGGUGAGCAAAAGCAAAGCACUUGGUAAUGCGGUGGACACUGCAUUCUGUGACGGUGCAUGUGCUUGUCUUGUGUUGCGGGGGCAGCAAGCCAAGAACAGUGUUGCAGUUUGCGAGCGGUUUUGCAGCCGGUCAAAAAACACCUGCAAGAGUGUAUAUGGAGAAGAUAUUUCGUUUUUGAUGUUUAUGGUAUUUCUGGAAAUGAAAUUUCGUUUCUUGCUCGGCAGAAAUAAAAUUGCCCGACUUCUCCUGCACUAUAUCUUAUCGUUACCAUUAUUUUAUUUUCCUCGAGUUAAAUUCUUC